RNAcentral lists this long non-coding RNA (252 nucleotides) under Marmota monax (woodchuck). The record is from RNAcentral. Lineage: Eukaryota; Metazoa; Chordata; Mammalia; Rodentia; Sciuridae.
GGGCUACCCAGAGCGGUGGGGGGUGGUAGGGGGAGCCCGCCGCGGAGGGCGACGGAGCGCCCUGAGCCCCGGACGUGUCCAGGCGGAAGCAGGUGAAGCCGCAAUCGGUGAAAGGAACUGUUAACAUUUAUGGAUAUAGCCAUUGAUUUUACUGAAGAGGAGUGGGAAUGCCUUCAGCCUGCUCAGAAAAAUUUAUAUAGAGAUGUGAAGCUAGAGAACUAUAGAAACUUGGCCUUCCUGGUUUCCACCUAC